CCCCCCCCCCACAACUGUAGGUCACUUUAAAAACACUUGAAGUUUAUUAUUAUAUCAUUUAAUAAGUUACAGACAGGCUUAUAACUGCACCUAUAAAUGACUGUCUGCUAAGAGACAUUAAAACAUUAAUGUGCUCAUGCUGUCAGUUCAGGGUUGCUGCUUCACUUUUAUUUCAGGAUACUUUCUUUUGAUUGUCUAUCAAUACAGCUGCUGUCAGACUUCAAGCUCUAAUGAGGACAGUGCCAUCCAAUCCCUGUCAAAGUCACUCUGGUUUGGAGGUGGGGCAUAUGUGCUGAUGGGGGCUUGGUGUGGUGUUUCCAUUUGAAAUAAAGAGAUAAUAACACUUCUUAUAGCGGAGAGCAGAACAGAAAACACUGCUACUGCCUAAAUUGAUGACGAGGGAUUCAAUUGGAGUAUUUGAGGUGUUAGAGCUUUAUUUCUUACAAUGCAGGACCGAACCUAACACUGUUAUCAUGGUCACCUUAAUGCCAGCAGAGAAAAUCAGUAUUAAAGGCUGACUAACAAGCACUGUGUGUGUGUGUGUGUGUGUGUGUGUGUGUGUGUGUGUGUGUGUGUGUGUGUGUGUGUGUGUGUGUGUGUGUGUGUGUGUGUGUGUGUGUGUGUGUGUGUGUGUGUGUGUGUGUGUGUGUGUGUGUGUGUGUGUGUGUGUAAAAGUCAAGUUACCCCUGGGGAUUUCAUUACUGCAGUCUUUUCUUCUUUCUUUUUUUUUUUUUUACAUCAUCCACAGCCUGAGCCGCUGUGUGCAUGUGUUGUUAAAAUUUCAAAUACACAGGUGAAAAACAAUUUGCCAAACAGGAACAUUUUUAAUUUGAGGAUGCCCUUUAUGAUAAUUAAGUAACACUGUUUUUUUCUUUUCUUUUCCAUUUUGGCCAACUGAUUUCAAAACACCCCAGGGUUAUGAAAACUAGUUCUGUGUGUUAAUUCAUCUCCUCUCCUCUCACAUAAACCCCUCCAUCCAUAACACCCAUAAGUUUAUCACUGUAAUACAACUACCAAGCACCACUUCCAGCCCCCAACAGCAUUAAAAUGACAGUCACAGCAUCUUUACUGAACCACUGCUCGCUGUCAGCUGCUUUGUAUGGAGUCCCAAACAUGCCGUGCUACAUUAAAAACUAAAACAUGAUGAUACACAUAAUCAGAUGAAUACAUAGAGUAAACUAUAUAAUUGAAGCAAGAGCUUGUGAAAUAAAGUAAUACAUUAUUAUUGAAACUAAAAUGUUUCUGAAUGAAAAUGUUAUUUUUUUAUCAUUAUUAUAGAGUUUUGCAAUUUGUCAUUAUUUUUAUUAUAAAAAAACAAACUAUGGCAAAAUUUCCAUUUGUUUUUUUUAAAGCCCGUUUUUUAUUUCGUGAUGUCACUCUUCAUGACAGUAGAGCUGUCAGCUGUCUCAGCCCCCUCAGUCACAUUUGAGUCAGUCACAUGCCUCUAGCCCAAGCACAGAACUCAUCUUUUUUAAAUUUGUCUUUAGAGCAUUUUGCCAGGAUCACAGUAACACUGGCACAUUAACAAAGGCUUUCAUUAAGGUGCAUUGUCUUCAUAGAUAAGAUAAAUGAAAUGUGUCUUUAAAAAGGCUACACAUGCUACCAAACCAGCUAAUGAGAGAUGUUGGCUUGUGAACUUCAUUUGUAACUAGCUAACUGAGUGAUAGUGAUGAUGUGUCUAACUGAAAGUCACACGACUCUGUGAAGAGAUGUAAAACACUUCUCUUCUCUUUGGUUGCUCAAUAGAAGCUAGCUAGAUGGAAGGUAGGGGGCAUGUGAUUGGUUAAAAGUUGAGGAGGUGGGAAUUGGUGACAACUGUGCUGUGGUGCCAUCGUGAAAUAAAAUCCAAUAAAACUGUUGAUAUAAAAAUAAGAUGAUGAAAUAACAUUUCAUAAUGAUGGUUAUUUUCUAUAUUUUACACAAAUCUAUUCAUAAGAAUAUUUGUUUUAUAAUUAAUUUAUUCUUUAUUUAAUUCUGCACUAUUUGGGCCUCCAUACCUCUGCUCCUCUUCUAGAAGUUCAGAUUUUGACAUUUUAUUCCAACAACUUGAUAUUUGUAUAUUUGACAACUUCAUCUUUCACCCUUUUUUUGGGAACUCCUCUUUGUGUAUAUAAAAAGAUGGUUGUUCAAAGCAAAAUGAUUUUUGACUGUAACCCAUUACCAUGUGUAUCAUUCAUUGGAUUUUGAUAACAAACAGGAUUUGGUUCAUCCCUUAGCUUGAUCUAAACCAUCAUUUUGUCUUCUCUUCUAACAAAUGUUGUCUGGCUAGUGGCAAGCUGUCACUCUAGCUGCUUUGCUGUGACCUGGCAGAUGGCUCAUGGAUCCACCCUGAAGUGUAUAUUUCCAUUCAUAAGAGAAUUUCAGUCUAUGGUAGAGAAACAUUGAAUAACAUAAUACUGGAGAUGUGUGUAUGCAGUGUGGGGUUUACUACAGGGUAUGUGGUCACACUUUUUACCAAGCUGGUUUUUUAAAAUAAACACACACUUCUGCUAUAAUAGGAACUAUUCUAAUAACUACAAACACACAUGCAGUACACACAUGACAUCUGCUUCUGCAGCUGUAAAGGACUUCUGUUACACAAACACUUGUAAGUGAAAGAAUAACCUCUGUUGCAUACCUGUAGGGAACCAGUCUCCCAGCUGUCUUUUGUGUUGGAGCCUGGGCUGCGUCCCAGCUCUGUUACCACGCACCCUUCCUCUGAUCCCUGCGUAGACAUAGACACUGAUCUGAUCAGUGAUUGUUUAAGGAAGCGAGGGAUGUGAACAGUUUUGGAGAAAAAAAGCCCCCCCUCUCCCCCCUCCGAGGCUUUUGAAGCCACAAAGACUUCUUCUGGAGAUGCCGGAGAGAAAUGGAUAUAGGCAUUGCAGACAAGCUGUGCACAAUUGACUUCUAUCAUGAAUUUAAUUUCAUAUUUUGACUUUUGAGUUUUAGCCAAUGAAAAAAAGAAAAAAAAGAAGGAAAAAAAAAAGAAAAA
Molecule: long non-coding RNA, 2974 nt
Organism: Scomber japonicus (chub mackerel)
Lineage: Eukaryota; Metazoa; Chordata; Actinopteri; Scombriformes; Scombridae
Exons: 2
Source: RefSeq, a predicted model, not a curated record